RNAcentral lists this long non-coding RNA (927 nucleotides) under Homo sapiens (human). Its description in RNAcentral is "PREDICTED lncRNA (TCONS_00048739)". The record is from RNAcentral. Lineage: Eukaryota; Metazoa; Chordata; Mammalia; Primates; Hominidae.
UCGAUCCAGGGGCCGCCAAGCGGCGGGGCGGGCACUCUUCCGGCAUCCGCCGCCGCCCCCUUGCCACCACCUACCAAGCCCCUGCAGCCUAGAAACCCGCCACCCGAGAGGCACUACUGCUCAGCCCAGACAGUAGCCGCCGCCGCUGCCGCCGCUGCCGCCGUUGCCGCCGCUGGCUAAGGAAGAGCCAUAUUACCGCAGUGCAACCCCUCCACCCCGCUGAGACCCGGAGCGCUCAUUGGCUUAGCCCUCAAGGGGGCGGGACCCAACGGCAGAAAAGGGGCGUGCUAUUGGGUAGAAGAGAGCCACCACGCAGGAUGCACUGGGACCUGAGAACCGUCGGGCAGUCCCACGAGCUCUUUCAUGACCAGCUCCAACCGACAAGUACACGCCCCUUCGCACUCCACUAGCUAGUAAGCUGAGCUACAAGGUGUGCCAGGCACCCAGGACGCCGAUUCACCGCUUCAGUGAAGGCCCAGCUCAAAUGCCACCUCUUCCAUGAAGACUUCCGUGAUCCACAAUGAUAGCAUCUCCAGCAAUUGCUUCUAUAAUGAAUAGCAUGAGUCAUUCUGCAGGAUGUUGAUCUUCCUUUUUUUACUCCUAGACUGAAUUUUUCCACCACCUGGAUGAACAUAGCAGAAAGAACAUAGUGUUUUAGAGUCAGACACAAUAGGAAUCAGGCACUUUGGAAUCUUGGCUCUACCACCUUUGAGCUAUGUAUCCCAAGUCAAACACCCAUCAGACCUUUGCCAGGUGUCCAGCCUGGGCACUACGUUUCAGAAAAUGAUGCACAUAGAAUCCCUAACUGAAAGGAGAUCGCAGCUCAUUUGGUACAAAGUGCUUUUAGCCUGGGUAAGGAGCUGGAGAGAUGUGAAAAUGUGGAAAGCAAGCCUAAGUCGCAGUGUGGCCUAUGCCUGAGAGCCAUCU